GACGGGGGGGGCAAGUGUUCUUCGGAAUGACUGGGCGUAAAGGGCACGUAGGCGGUGAUGUAAGACCGAUGUGAAAUCCCCGAGCUUAACCUGGGAACUGCGUCGGAUACUGGAUGGCUUGAAUCCGGGAGAGGGAUGCAGAAUUCCAGGUGUAGCGGUGAAAUGCGUAGAUAUCUGGAGGAAUACCGGUGGCGAAGGCGGCAUCCUGGACCGGCAUUGACGCUGAAGCGCGAAAGCUAGGGGAGCAAACGGG
RNAcentral lists this ribosomal RNA (253 nucleotides) under uncultured bacterium. RNAcentral's name for it is "partial 16S ribosomal RNA". It matches the Rfam family "Bacterial small subunit ribosomal RNA", at positions 524 to 776 of the family's 1533-position model. The record is from RNAcentral.